RNAcentral lists this ribosomal RNA (253 nucleotides) under uncultured bacterium. Its description in RNAcentral is "partial 16S ribosomal RNA". It matches the Rfam family "Bacterial small subunit ribosomal RNA", at positions 524 to 776 of the family's 1533-position model. The record is from RNAcentral.
UACGGAGGGGGCUAGCGUUGUUCGGAAUUACUGGGCGUAAAGCGCACGUAGGCGGCUUUGUAAGUUAGAGGUGAAAGCCCAGGGCUUAACCCUGGAACUGCCUUUAAGACUGCAAGGCUUGAAUCGCGGAGAGGUGAGUGGAAUUCCGAGUGUAGAGGUGAAAUUCGUAGAUAUUCGGAAGAACACCAGUGGCGAAGGCGGCUCACUGGACGCGUAUUGACGCUGAGGUGCGAAAGCGUGGGGAGCAAACAGG